AGCUCCAAUAGCGUAUAUUAAAGUUGCUGCAGUUAAAAAGCUCGUAGUUGCAUUUCCGAGGCAAGGGAUUAGUCCGACCUUUGGUGGGUAUUUAAUCCUCUUGCCUCGUCCUUGAGUGGUGCUUCUUGGUAUUAAGUUAUCGAGGAGAUAGCCGCUCAUCGUUUACUGUGAGAAAAUUAGAGUGUUCAAAGCAGGCUUAUGCCGUUGAAUAUAUUAGCAUGGAAUAAUAAGAUAGGACCUCGGUACUAUUUUGUGGGUUUGAGAACCAAGGUAAUGAUGAAUAGGGACAGUUGGGGGUAUUCGUAUUCAGUUGUCAGAGGUGAAAUUCUUAGAUUUUCGGAAGACGAACUACUGCGAAAGCAUUUACCAAGGAUGUUUUCA
RNAcentral lists this ribosomal RNA (381 nucleotides) under uncultured marine Chaetocerotaceae. RNAcentral's name for it is "SSU rRNA". It matches the Rfam family "Eukaryotic small subunit ribosomal RNA", at positions 587 to 972 of the family's 1831-position model. Lineage: Eukaryota; Bacillariophyta; Thalassiosirophyceae; Chaetocerotales; Chaetocerotaceae. The record is from RNAcentral.